AUUGAACGCUGGCGGCAGGCCUAACACAUGCAAGUCGAACGAGUGGCGGACGGGUGAGUAAUGUCUGGGAAACUGCCUGCUGGAGGGGGAUAACUACUGGAAACGGUAGCUAAUACCGCAUACCAUCAGAUGUGCCCAGAUGGGAUUAGCUAGUUGGUGGGGUAACGGCUCACCAAGGCGACGAUCCCUAGCUGGUCUGAGAGGAUGACCAGCCACACUGGAACUGAGACACGGUCCAGACUCCUACGGGAGGCAGCAGUGGGGAAUAUUGGACAAUGGGCGAAAGCCUGAUGCAGCCAUGCCGCGUGUGUGAAGAAGGUCUUCGGGUUGUAAAGUACUUUCAGUGGGGAGGCGUUACCCGCAGAAGAAGCACCGGCUAACUCCGUGCCAGCCGCCGCGGUAAUAC
This 406-nucleotide ribosomal RNA is filed under the name uncultured bacterium. Its description in RNAcentral is "partial 16S ribosomal RNA". It matches the Rfam family "Bacterial small subunit ribosomal RNA", at positions 30 to 526 of the family's 1533-position model. The record is from RNAcentral.